Molecule: long non-coding RNA, 356 nt
Filed under: Homo sapiens (human)
Lineage: Eukaryota; Metazoa; Chordata; Mammalia; Primates; Hominidae
Description: non-protein coding lnc-LILRA5-3:1
Source: RNAcentral
GUGACUCCCACCCUCACAACCCUACUCUGACUUGGGCUGAGUCUGAGCUUCAGGACCCAUGUGCAGGCAGGCUCCUCACUAAACCCACCACCUGGACUGAGCCAGACUGUGUGAUCCCUGGGAGGAGGCCUGUGACCACCUGGUGUCAGGGUACCCUGGAGCCCCAAGAGCACCAGCUGGAUAAAGAGGGAAGCUCAGUGUCACAGAACAUUAAGGAAACCACUGGGGCCUGGGAACAAGACCAGGACCCAUAUCUCACACAAGCCAGAGCACAAUGCAGAGAACUGUCACUGUUAUUAUCAAAGUGCCACAGGCCGGUCAGGGCACAGUGACCCCCCUGGUGCUGGUGGUGACAG